Ziziphus jujuba (common jujube) is the source of this 1921-nucleotide long non-coding RNA. RefSeq lists it as uncharacterized. The record is from RefSeq and is a predicted model, not a curated record. Lineage: Eukaryota; Viridiplantae; Streptophyta; Magnoliopsida; Rosales; Rhamnaceae. The transcript is spliced from 2 exons.
AUUGUUAUUGUGAGAAAAUUUAUUCUAUUUGUUCUUUGUGAACUUUUGAGAACUUAUUGCAUUUUUAGACUUAUCAGUUGGUUCUUUCAUAACCAAUUGUGACAUCUUUACAUACCAAGGUUCCUACCUCUUUAUGGAUAGUGGAUCAAAGUUUUCCACCUAUAAUCUAAUGUUUUUAAAUGAUUUGUAUCAUUCUCUUGCAUACUUAAUUCCUUUAGGGUUAAGUGUGUAUCAUAUGAUUCUUUAAUUUGCAUUAAGUUGUAAGACUCAUAGGUUUUGUUUUUAUUUUUAUUUUUUUUGUAUGCUUUUCUCCUUAUCAAAUUACUUUAAAUGCAUUCCUUUUGCCACACUUUUAAAUCUUUGAAAUUUGUUGUGACAAAGUCUUGGAGGUGGAGUACCUUUGCAAGGAGGAUUAUGCUACGAUAGUGGUGGAGUUCCUUUCCGAGAGUAUCGUUGCACUGCAAAGGAGAACCACAAGAAUGAGGAUGAUGUGUACCACUCACGUGAAGUUGCCUUUAAUCUAAACUCAUAUCUGUUCUUAAUUGUCAGUCAUCAACGAUAUUGGGUGAGUGGCUAGGCUUUCCUCUUAUGCAACUUUAAGCUUCCCUUCUCACAUGUUUAGCAAUUGAUAAAAAUGCUUAAAUUAGGAUAUUUUGAAAAAUUAAAAAAAUAAUAAUAAUGAAAAAAGAAAAAGAGAAAUCCUUUUUAUAGAACUAGAAGCAAAAGAACAAAAAGAGGAGGAGAAAAAACUAAAGGGCCAAGGAGGGUGAUAAUAACUUUGAUAGUCACGUGCAUUGGGACCCAUAACAACUAAUCUUAUGGAGAAACUGUGGCCUCCUAUUAUAUAUCGACAAGCGACAAAGAAAUAUCUGAAUGUUUUUUCAUGGCGGAUAGAUUACAGACAUACAUAUGUAUUAUAUUAUAUUAUAGUAUAGUAUAAUAUUGAUAUAUCUAUCCAUUAAAUAUAUAUGCCAAAUGAAAGAAUAUUCAACUUCAACUCAAUUUGAAAAAAAAAUAAAAAUAAAAAUAAAAAAUUUGAUGACUUUAUCCUUGUUUUCCACCUUUUGGGCAUUGCCAGUUUGGAUUCUUUGUGCUUGAAAAAAAAAAAAAGAUGCUUGGCCUAUUGCAGCAUAAAAAUUCAAGUUUAUCUACUGAAAUAAGGGCCUAGUAUUUUAUUUUUUAAUCUUUGAAUCUGCACAUACCUUCAAAUCUAAUUCCAUACUGCUGCUCUCACAUAAUUUCAUAAAAGUGACUCAAAAUUUUAAUUCUCAAACCUGGUGGUACAUGUUCUACUUAACAGCAACCUUAAUGGUUUUAUCAAAAAGGACUGUUGAAUGAGCAGGGGCAUAACAUCCUUCAAGCAACUUGAAGUUUCCUAGUUCUUCUGUUGGGAUUCUCCUCGACAAUAAAAUAACAUAAAUAUGGAUUUAUGUUUGCUUUAUACAACAAUUUCGCACACACAUACACAUACAUAUUUAGCCAAAAAAUAUCAUAUAAGGUCAAUCAAAUAUAAUUUUAGUUUUUUCGACAUUAAAAUAAAAUAAAAUCUAUAUAUUAUACCCUAAAUAUUAGUUUGCUUGCUACAUCUUUUCCAUGAUUUCUUAGAACAAAAGACAGAGAGAAAAUGGCUGUAAGCAUUCUAGAUUACUUGCUUAAAUUGAAAUUAGAGAAAAUGAGCUAGCAAUGCAUGCCAAAAGCACCUGGGAAAAUUACAUGUUUGUUCUACAUUAAUUCCAGGAGUUUAUUUCACAGUAAUUCCAGGAGUUUAUUCCAUCCAAUUUUCUCUCUUUAUUAGGUAUACUCACAAUACACAAUAUCAUAUAUUAGAUAUGUACAAGGAUACGAACUCAACAAACCUCCUAAAGGUGGAAGCAAAAAUACCAUAUGGUUACAGAGGGAAAAAAAAAAAAAAAAAUGAAAA